Drosophila nasuta is the source of this 6914-nucleotide long non-coding RNA. RefSeq lists it as uncharacterized. The transcript has 8 exons. The record is from RefSeq and is a predicted model, not a curated record. Lineage: Eukaryota; Metazoa; Arthropoda; Insecta; Diptera; Drosophilidae.
AACGUUGUUAGUAAAAUAGAAAGUUAUUAAAAAUUAAUAAAUUAAUGGGUAUACCUACUGAGCUAAGUUUGGUUACCAGAUCCUCAAUGGUAGCAAAGUUUUGUUGCGGACUGGUUGUCUUCCCUGGGGCCGUGCCGGCUGGCUCAUCGGUACUCAGGUGGAGUUCCAUCCCUGGCCCGCAGUCCGCACAAUCGAUAAGUCCACCGAUAUUAACAGCUGUUUUUUUAAACAGAAAAACACACCACUAACAGAAAAACAAAACAGCUGCCGCGCAAUUAAAAAUUGCGCUAAACAAAAAGGAAAUCCAAAACAAACUGUUGACGACAGGCCACAGCUGGACCCCGGCGUACCCACCCUGCCUGAGAUGGCCACAUCGGCGCCAUCUCCCUUGCGUUGGCCACUAUAUCAGUGGCCGCUCCUCAUCCGGCGUAGCGCUGUCGAAUCCCCCUCCCCACCAUGCUGAGAAGACUCACACGACCAUGUUCAUCGUAUAAUAUUAAUAGAUAUUCGAAUUUCAUUACAGCUACACGGAACAGUAUUCGAAGCAAAAGCAAAUAAAACAAACAAGGCGGAACAACAAAGAAAAUAACGGAGUAGGGACAAUUAUAUAUGUAUGGUUCACUCACAACUUCUUUGGCCGAGGGAGAAAUCUAUAACGUAUUUUUUACGUAUUGCACCUCGUUCAAUGUGUCACUCCUCGCGGUAUAGUCUCGCUCAAUAGAUAAGAGAAUCGAAGCGCAGGCGUUUUUACUUUAUUUUAAUACUUUCAUGCUCGUUGUUGCCAUUAAUGGUUGUUUGUCUUUGCUCACACUGUUGUUGGUUUACGAUCUUGUAACGGAAUAUUGCAGCAAUCUCUUUUUAUACACUAAACAAAUCUUUAUUUUGUGUAACUUCGUAUUUAACAUUUAUUCUACGAUACAGCAAACACGUGGAGUCGAGUCUUCUCUUCUUUCUUGUCGACCGUCUCCAACCUUCAUCUAAAUUCAACUCUCGACCCAGAAAAAUCCACGUUCUAACCUCUCGUGAAAAAAAGUUGACUUUGAACAGGAGGAGCAAUUUUCAAAUUUCCCCCCCCUGGUGUUGCCAUUUCCUAUCUCCGAUACAUCGCCUCGCGAUAUAUCGAUAAACCCCCCCACAACAUUGCUGGCACAAACGAUAUCCAAAACGUAACAGUUUAACGCUGGAAUAGCAGUCAAAGACAUUGCCAAUGAGUUUAAAGUGUCGCGCCAAACUGUGUACUACCAAAUUAAAAAGUUUAAAAAGCAUAAUGACAUGCGUAAUUUAAGAAGAUCAGGUGCUAAGCGCAAAACAGAUCUCAGUGAAGACUGAGCCCUUGUACGGGAAUUUAACAAAAUGUUUUUCUAAAGCCCCAAUCCGCAGCAGAUCAAUUUAAUUUGACAGCUAAAACACCAAUUAGUGAGCGCACAGUCCGUCCACGAUUAAAAUAAUGUGAUUUUAAGACUUAUAAAGUCAAGGAAGUACCAUAUAUAACAAAAGCAAACAAGCUUAUAAGACUGACUUUUGCAAAGGAAAGCAGUUCUGGAGGAGCGUUCUAUGGACAGAUGAAAGCUUCUUUGAGUAUAAAUCAUCAAAAAAUAAAUUUUUUGUAAGAUUAUAAAGGCAGAAAAGCCGGUCUGUUUGCCAAAAAGUAAGCCAUGGUGGAGGCUGUGUGUUGUUCUAAGGAUGUGUAGCGUAUAAUGGACUGGGUGUCUUCGUUCCUGUCACUGGCCUGAUGAACCAAGGCCAAUAUUUACAGGAUCUAAAUGAUAAUGCAUUUACUUCUGGACAGGCUUAUUGGUCAAUCCUUCAUUCUGCAACAGGAUAACGCCCCAUGGCACAAAGCCAAGAUGAUUACAACAUUUUUGAAGGAUGUUAGUGUUACCACUUUGGACUGGCCACCUCAAAGUCCAGAUUUAAAUAUAAUUGAAAGCGUCUGGUCUCUUAUGAAACGUAAAAGAACAGUAUCGUUGAAUAAGAGACAGAUUUCUGAUAGUUUGUAAUGAGCAUUUUGUAUCAUAAAGUGCCCAAAAAGAUCCCGAAAAUUUAUUACUCUGUUAUUACUUACCUUAACUACGACUAUGCUCAGAAUUUUAUGAGUCGAUGUUUAGAAUGCACUGAUUGCGCUCCGAAAUCGAUCUCAGCUCUUUUCGGACACUUAAUUUAGAGCCCUCCUAACUUUGCUUGCUGGCUACUUGCUUUGAGUGACAGCCAUUAGCUGAUCCCAUGUAAUUUGUUUACGGAGAGCUUUACGCACUGGAAGAUAUUUAUUUAAUGUUUGCUAUAUGCUGUGGGCUACUCCAUCAUUCUAUCUCCAAUGAUUUAAAUUAGUCCGUUUUAAAUUAUCAUGUUGCUUAAUUCUUAAUUUGUUAGUAUUUAUAGAACCAAAAAUAAUUAUUUAUAUUAUAUUUAUGCAAGAUCAUAGCUGAUAUUUAUAGGUUACUUUUUUUUAUUGUUGAUUUAUCAUUUGGCCUUAUUUGAUACUUAUCAUGUUAGUCCUUCAAAAUAUUUAUUUAUUUAUUUUUGUGAGUUAUUUCUGUAGUAAAUUAAAUAUGUUCACUUAAUUUUCUAUUUUAUUUGGAAACAUGCAUCACUGAGCAAGAGUACGUUAGCCGACCCACUUUCCUUUAGCGAUCCUACUAGCAUUUAUUUUUGGGAUUUCGAAUGCAGGAUCACGGUAGGGUGGACGGCUGCACACAACAACACCAGUGUUGCACUAGACAGUGGCUCCAUCUUCUUUGUUAACCUACCUUUCUCUCCUUCCCCUCCCCUUCUCUUUCACCGUUUUUGAAUGUACCCUCCACCUUCCACUCCUCUUACUCUGUCUACCCAUUUGUAUGCGAUUUCUUAAUGUUUUAUUGUUUUAUAGUGGUGCGCAAUAUCAGUUGGCCCUUUUCAUUAACCCCAUCCGGAGUCCAAAGUUACAUUAUGCUCGCCUAUAUUGGUAUUGCCUAUAUUUUGGCAACCAACUAGCGCACGUCAAUUUUGUUUUGCCGCGACGAAAGUGUCGAAGAUGAAAACGACAACAAAUGCUCGUGUCUUAGAUGUUUGCAGUUUGAAUGCGUAAAAAUGUCACAUUCGAUAUCGGAGAAUUGCCCAAUUGUAUUAUUACCUGAUUACAAAAAAAUGUAUUUAUUUCUUAAAAGUUCAAACUUUUUUUAAAUAAAGUUUUAAAUAGUGUUUGCAAAAAGGGAAUAAAAAAAUAUGAAUUGCAUAAAAAAACAAACAAAAUAUGCAUAUAUUCUCGAUCGGGAUUAGAACUCGCAUACCACAAUAUGUUGGGCUUGCAAACUAUCAACAGACCAAUGAGUCCUUGUGCGGGAAACAUCUAAGACAGGGGCAAUUAUUGUUAUCUUCUUCUUCGUCGUGGCAAAACAAAAUAAUGUGCGCUAGCUGCUUGUCUGCGUGGCAACCGCACGUUGCAAAACUUCACAUGCAUACACAUACCAAUAUAGGCAAGCAUGUAGAUACGUAGACGAAAACAUACAAACACAGCACAGCGCAACAAAACGUGUGAAGUGUGUGAUGUACGCUACGCGAUGCGUUAAAACUUCGAAUUUAAAAAAUGAGCCGAACAGGCUCUGGGUACAAAGAUCGCCUUGGCGGAUUUUUCUAAAUAUCAUCUACUGUUUUUGUCAAUUUCUUUUUAUUUUCUGGAUAUACAUAUUUUUUAAGGAAUCGCAAAUCAAUUAAAAAAUAUUUUAAAAAGGCACCAGCCACCAUAAACUACAAGAUUUAUUCUUCGGAUAAUCUUAUACUUAGAAAAAUUUGAAAAUCUGUUACACCAAACUGAAGAUCCGUCAAUAUUUUUAGAUUUCAAUAUGUCGUGUUUUUUGCCGAAUUAAUCGGUAAAUCGCAUUUCCCUGAUAAACGGGAUAAAUGACAUGCGAAAACUAUAUAUUCCGUAAAUAAAUGAAAAUAUGAAGUCAAAUUGUUUGCCUAUUUCUAUGACGACAUUAUCCCAAGGACAAAAUUAAUGACCUGCGAAAAAACCUUUUUUUUUUUGAAAGCUUCACGAAUUUUAGAGUUACCGUUUUCAACAAGCUAUUUCUCUUAACGAGAAAAUGCUACGCUUUUUUCCAAUGGUUUUAGAUUUAUCAUAUUUUUGCAAGUGACCGCUUUGCCGAUAGCAGUACGAUAAAAGAGGUUGUCAAUUUUUUCGUCUGUAAAACAGUCGAUUUGACAUCGAUACCCUUAAUUUAUUUUGUACUGGGAAGGGCGAAAAAAAAGUGAUGUUGCUUUUAGAUUUAUUUGUCUACGAUCUCUUAAAGUUGGUGGUCGGAUGAAUUUCGGUUAGUUUUGAUUUACGUAAAUGUUUCAUUACCUAGUUUGUGUGCAUCAAUCAUCAUCGCGAAAAACUUUGAAAGAUUUUUUCAUUUAUAUUGAAAAUUUAAUUCAUUUACUUCUGAUUUUCUGGGAAUUUAGAAUCGGACAUCAAAUAUAUAUUUUUCAAUCAGUUUCGCUUUACUAUAUAUUAUUUUAGUGUCACCGUCUUUAUUAACAUUUGUGUUUCCAAAUUUGGCUUUGUGACCGUCACGCUACAUUGCAUUUUGUUCAAUGGAGUUGCGCAGAAAUAAAGCGACUUCAUUUAUCUGGGACCAGCGCUUUAUUUCUUAAAUAUCAAAUAUGUAUCCUGGAAAUGUACGUAUAAACAAAUGCCUGUUAUAAGAAUGUACCAAGUAUGUUAUUUUUUUACGCAAUUUCGCGGAAAAAUUGCGUUUAGUUAAGCUCGCUAUAAAAUAUUUCAUUCAUUUCAUAUUGUUACGAUUUAUUGCUAGAAUAUGAUCUAUAUUCUAGACUUAUGGUUAAAAUCCAACCUCAAAUAUGAAAAUCCGGCAAGCGAUCUCAAUCAACUUUCACAUUAUUAUUUACGUUGUUUUAUUAUACAAUUUUGUAUUCUUAAAUUAUACAUGUUGAUAAAUUAAUAUUAAUAGACUGAGCCCGUAAUUUAAGAGUGCACCUGAUAAAACGCUGUGAUUUGAUUAACAGAAAUAAUUUAAGUCUUAAGUUUAGCUAAAUUAAUAUUAUUUAAUCUUUUCAAAAGUAUUGAAUAGACUGAGGGCAUGAUUGGGCGGAGAUUUACAUAUUUGUAUUUGACUACUUCCAUGCUUAUGACAAAGAAACGGAGUUAGAGAUAUGUAAAUUCGUUUUUUUUCAUGUUUUGUGAGUUGGGUGCUAAAUUGUUCUACCGAUAUGAAAUGCCUUUACAUAUGAUAUUAAGACUAUUUAUGUAAUCUUUAAUUGAUGGAAAAAAGUUAUAUAGUGCUUUUGCUUUGCAAGAAACAAUCUUAAACCCAAGGUGAAUAAAAGCAAGAUGCAAAAAACUGUUGUUUUCCGGAAACGUGUGAGUUAUUAUGAUUGCUAUCCGAUGGUGCUACACUGUUAGCUGCAGCAGCCGCUGCUGCAUAGUUGUAGCUCAUGUGUGCAUAUGACGGUAUUGCAUGUGAUGUACUAUCGUUAGCAAAACUUUGACCAUGGCUCAUUUGUAUGGGACUACAAUUCGAUUGGCGAUGAUGCUCCAUUUGGGGGUGGUGGGCGGCAGAGAUGCUAAGGGAAUUUGGUGCCGUUGGUGGUGCUAUUGGCAGUGGAGGCGGUGGCAAUCCGUAAGUCAAAUUUGCUUCGUAAUCAGCUACAUCAUUAUUAACACUUUUUGUCCCAUUCGAGCCGUGUGGAUUUGAUGCUAUAUUUGGACUGCUGCUGACAUUUGCAACUUCAUUUGAAGAUGUUCCCAGACCUGCACCGACACCCACAAGAUUAUGAUGAGAUGCUAAGGGCGGAGGACGUAGUGGCAUAUGGCACGGAUACAUGGAUACGGAUGGUGGUGUCAGGUCUCUCUGUUGCAAAAUCGGUGAUGGUGGUGCUAAGGAUCCCAUUGAUGAAUGACUGAAUUAUCAUUCUGGCAUGAUCAUCUUCCGUAGUUCCAGUAUUGGAUGUGUCACCGUUUGAAUUAUCUCCUUCCCCGGAGACUGUUUCGUCUGAAUGUUGGCCAUCGAGCUCUGUAAAUAGGGAAAUUGAAAAUAAAAAUACAUAAAAUGUCUAAUGUUUUCAAGCUAAGCGACUGAAAGUCUAAGAUAGUAAGAUAGCAAACUAUUUAUUCGCAUGCACAUCAAAAAUGCCGCAGGCCACAACAUUUGGAUCUCAGCUUGUCACUUUUCAUUCAUGUAUUUAAAUGUGUCUGUGUGUGUGUAACUGGCAGUUCUUGCAGGGCCCAACGAAGUCCAGUUCAGGGAACAUGUCACUUGCCAAAUAAACUGCAAUGUGACAGCCAACAACAACAACGACAUGAAGUAAAAGAUAGCGUCGAUGAUAUAAGGGAGUAUGGAAGAUUAAACAAGAGAGCAUGAGAAUAAAAGACAACUGAAGCUAGAGAGCGACAUUCGUCCAUGGUGGAAUAUAUUAGAAAUACAAACUGAUAAGGCGAUAAUUGUGCACAACCCUUGCGACUAUGGUUACAUCCCCCCAAUGGUUUGGCGUUUAAUGAAGUGUCAUCGCCUGUAAAAUGAGUCUGUAAAUCGUAUUAAACCAACUACACGGUUUAGGGAAGACCUUGUCAAGUACGACAGCAAACUCCCGUUACCGUGUUGCCGAAGGCUACAGAUUGCGGAUUAUACAGAUACAGUAGCUGCCUUGCACACAAACACGCGGUUGAAAUUUACCCACAGAGAUUUGGUUCACCAGAAUCUUUGUGUUGAUGAGGUUAAACUAAUUAUAAGAGCCUGAGUAAAUAUACAUACAACAAUCUCGUUUCGUUUUUUGUACAUAUUGACGCUUAUAUAAGAAGUUAUAUAUCUAAUCUUGUAUUGAAGUCAUUAAGCAAAUUUUAUAGUUGGCGAUUUCAUGUAAUUGUAAUUCUAAUUCAGUUAUAACUAACUCAUAUGUAUGUAGGUAUAUAUCUAAAUAUUUUGUACAAUUUUGUG